UCCCUCCCUGCGACAGACACCCAGAAACCCUGUAACAACACUUCCAGUGCCAGCCCUGAGGUCACCCAUUGUGAGACAGGGCGCAGAGCCCACAGCCGGUGCCCGGGUCUGGAGUGAAAACAGAAGAGCUCGGCUCUGCCAUCUGUGGUGUGGCCUUGGGGAGAUGACUUAAUUUCCCCGAGCCUCAGUUUUCCCAUCUAUAAAAUGGAGGAAACUGUACUUUGCUGGGGUGGUGAUGCAGAUUAGAAGAUGUCUGUGAGCCAACUGGCACAGAGAAAGUUCUCUGGAGAUGCUGGGUCCCGGCUCCCCGGAGCCAGGGUGCCUCCUCAGACGCUUCUGUUUCUCCUGGGAAAUGUGGGAUUCCUUCUUCUGGGCCUCAGAGGGGAGAAGGGACCUCCUGCCGGCCUAGUGCGCCUGUGUGCGUGCUCACCACUGCCAGAGGACUCCGUGUGAGAGGUGGAAACCACAUUUGCAUAGGCCUAGAAAAAGAGGGGCAACAGAUGAAGAAACCAAGGCUCAGAGAGGUUAAGUGACUUGUUCGAGAUCACACAGCUGUCAAGACGCAGCAUCAGGACUCAAGUCGCACAUUAUGCUUUCCCGUAGGACUGUCUUCCUUGACGCCCCUUGAUUCUCAGAGAGAUAGACAGAAGAGCACAAGCAG
This is a non-coding RNA of Leptonychotes weddellii (Weddell seal), 661 nucleotides long. Lineage: Eukaryota; Metazoa; Chordata; Mammalia; Carnivora; Phocidae. The record is from RefSeq and is a predicted model, not a curated record.